UUUGAUCCUGGCUCAGGAUGAACGCUAGCGGCAGGCUUAACACAUGCAAGUCGAGGGGUAGCAGGAUUUAGUUUACUAGAUUGCUGACGACCGGCGCACGGGUGAGUAACGCGUAUACAAUUUGCCUUUUACUGGAGGAUAGCCAAGAGAAAUUUUGAUUAAUACUCCAUAGUAUUAUUUGAUCACCUGGUCGAGUAAUUAAAGCUCCGGCGGUAAAAGAUGAGUAUGCGUUCUAUUAGCUAGAUGGUAAGGUAACGGCUUACCAUGGCGACGAUAGAUAGGGGUCCUGAGAGGGAGAUCCCCCACACUGGUACUGAGACACGGACCAGACUCCUACGGGAGGCAGCAGUGAGGAAUAUUGGGCAAUGGAGGCAACUCUGACCCAGCCAUGCCGCGUGCAGGAAGACGGCCCUAUGGGUUGUAAACUGCUUUUAUACAGGAAGAAACUUAUCCACGUGUGGAUAACUGACGGUACUGUAAGAAUAAGGACCGGCUAACUCCGUGCCAGCAGCCGCGGUAA
RNAcentral lists this ribosomal RNA (520 nucleotides) under uncultured Bacteroidota bacterium. RNAcentral describes it as "bacterial SSU rRNA". It matches the Rfam family "Bacterial small subunit ribosomal RNA", at positions 12 to 523 of the family's 1533-position model. The record is from RNAcentral. Lineage: Bacteria; Pseudomonadati; Bacteroidota.